CCGGCGCACGGGUGAGUAACACGUAUCCAACCUGCCGUCUACUCUUGGACAGCCUUCUGAAAGGAAGAUUAAUACAAGAUGGCAUCAUGAGUCCACAUGUUCACAUGAUUAAAGGUAUUCCGGUAGACGAUGGGGAUGCGUUCCAUUAGAUAGUAGGCGGGGUAACGGCCCACCUAGUCUUCGAUGGAUAGGGGUUCUGAGGGGAAGGUCCCCCACAUUGGAACUGAGACACGGUCCAA
RNAcentral lists this ribosomal RNA (239 nucleotides) under uncultured bacterium. RNAcentral describes it as "partial 16S ribosomal RNA". It matches the Rfam family "Bacterial small subunit ribosomal RNA", at positions 95 to 334 of the family's 1533-position model. The record is from RNAcentral.